UACGUAGGGUCCGAGCGUUGUCCGGAUUUAUUGGGCGUAAAGAGCUCGUAGGCGGCUUGCUAAGUCAGGUGUGAAACCUCCAGGCUCAACCUGGAGCCGCCACCUGAUACUGGUAUGGCUAGAGUCCGGUAGGGGACCACGGAAUUCCUGGUGUAGCGGUGAAAUGCGCAGAUAUCAGGAAGAACACCCGUGGCUAAGGCGGCUCUCUAGUACGGUACUGACGCUGAGACGCGAAAGCGUGGGGAGCGAACAGG
Molecule: ribosomal RNA, 254 nt
Filed under: uncultured bacterium
Lineage: Bacteria
Description: partial 16S ribosomal RNA
Rfam family: Bacterial small subunit ribosomal RNA
Source: RNAcentral